AACCUUCACAAAUUAUCUUUAACAUAGCAGCGGAAAAUCAUAAACAUAAAUCGUAAAUGUUUUGGCACGCAGGCCCAACAAGUAUCUCAAAAGAGUUUAUCAAGCAUAAAAUAUCAUGGCAGUUCACGUAAAAGAAUGAAGCAUGUUAUAGCAUAUAACCCCAUCCCGUUACGUAUCAGAGCGACCUAGACGACACAGUGAAGGCAAGGCCACUCACGACGGCAACUGCACACUAAGCACGAUCACCU
Molecule: long non-coding RNA, 248 nt
Filed under: Medicago truncatula (barrel medic)
Lineage: Eukaryota; Viridiplantae; Streptophyta; Magnoliopsida; Fabales; Fabaceae
Description: long non-coding RNA (MTRU_LNC008595)
Source: RNAcentral